RNAcentral lists this ribosomal RNA (203 nucleotides) under uncultured Lactobacillus sp. RNAcentral's name for it is "partial 16S ribosomal RNA". It matches the Rfam family "Bacterial small subunit ribosomal RNA", at positions 160 to 355 of the family's 1533-position model. Lineage: Bacteria; Bacillati; Bacillota; Bacilli; Lactobacillales; Lactobacillaceae. The record is from RNAcentral.
ANUCUAAUACCGGAUAAAAGCUACUUUCGCAUGAAAGAAGUUUAAAAGGCGGCGUAAGCUGUCGCUAAAGGAUGGACCUGCGAUGCAUUAGCUAGUUGGUAAGGUAACGGCUUACCAAGGCGAUGAUGCAUAGCCGAGUUGAGAGACUGAUCGGCCACAUUGGGACUGAGACACGGCCCAAACUCCUACGGGAGGCAGCAGCU